This 253-nucleotide ribosomal RNA is filed under the name uncultured bacterium. RNAcentral's name for it is "partial 16S ribosomal RNA". It matches the Rfam family "Bacterial small subunit ribosomal RNA", at positions 524 to 776 of the family's 1533-position model. The record is from RNAcentral.
UACGGAGGAUCCAAGCGUUAUCCGGAUUUAUUGGGUUUAAAGGGUGCGUAGGCGGAUUGAUAAGUUAGAGGUGAAAUGUCCGAGCUCAACUCGGGAACUGCCUCUAAUACUGUCGAUCUAGAGAGUAGAUGCGGUAGGCGGAAUGUACGGUGUAGCGGUGAAAUGCUUAGAGAUCAUACAGAACACCGAUUGCGAAGGCAGCUUACCAAUCUAUAUCUGAUGUUGAGGCACGAAAGCGUGGGGAUCAAACAGG